This 88-nucleotide transfer RNA is filed under the name Marivirga tractuosa DSM 4126. RNAcentral describes it as "tRNA-Ser". It matches the Rfam family "tRNA". From Rfam's summary of the family: Transfer RNA (tRNA) molecules are approximately 80 nucleotides in length. Their secondary structure includes four short double-helical elements and three loops (D, anti-codon, and T loops). Lineage: Bacteria; Pseudomonadati; Bacteroidota; Cytophagia; Cytophagales; Marivirgaceae. The record is from RNAcentral.
AGAGGCGUGGCAGAGUGGUCGAUUGCGUUGGUCUUGAAAACCAAUGUACCGCGAGGUACCGGGGGUUCGAAUCCCUCCGCCUCUGCAA